Molecule: unclassified non-coding RNA, 148 nt
Organism: Macaca mulatta (Rhesus monkey)
Lineage: Eukaryota; Metazoa; Chordata; Mammalia; Primates; Cercopithecidae
Rfam family: Metazoan signal recognition particle RNA
About the family: The signal recognition particle (SRP) is a universally conserved ribonucleoprotein. It is involved in the co-translational targeting of proteins to membranes.
Source: Ensembl
GCCGGGCGCGGUGGCGGGCGCCUGUAGUCCCAGCUACUUGGGAGGCUGAGGCAGGAGAAUGGCGUGAACCCAGGAGGCGGAGCUUGCAGUGAGCCGAGAUCACGCCACUGCACUCCAGCCUGGGCAACAGCGUGAGACUCUGUCUCAA